UACAAGUAUUUCAGAUAAACAUGUACAGAAAUAAAAUAUAGAAAUAUUUCGACUCAUUAACAUUGUGUGAUACGUUUUGUUUAGUGAAGAAAAAGUUUAAGUAACCUGGUCCUGUUUUUAUAAAGAGCUCUUGAUUAUAAACAGGUUAUGAAGAAUUUUCAUCUGAUGCAGAUUCCAGAGAAGAUAUUUUUAAUGAAAUGUGCUCGACUCUCAGCGGCAUUUCCUGAACUUUUUUCCCUCACACUGAGAAAUAAUCUGAAUUAAAUGUAACAUUUCCACAAAGUGUAAGAGCAGACAGUAUAAAGAAUAAACAGAAUAAACACUUACUGAAGAUCAA
This is a long non-coding RNA of Ictalurus punctatus (channel catfish), 337 nucleotides long. RefSeq lists it as uncharacterized. The record is from RefSeq and is a predicted model, not a curated record. The transcript has 2 exons. Lineage: Eukaryota; Metazoa; Chordata; Actinopteri; Siluriformes; Ictaluridae.